Molecule: ribosomal RNA, 371 nt
Filed under: uncultured bacterium
Lineage: Bacteria
Description: bacterial SSU rRNA
Rfam family: Bacterial small subunit ribosomal RNA
Source: RNAcentral
GUAGGGAGCAAGCGUUGUCCGGAAUCAUUGGGCGUAAAGCGCGCGUAGGCGGCCUUGUAAGUCCGUUGUGAAAGUCAAAGGCUCAACCUUUGAAAGCCGAUGGAUACUGCAAGGCUAGAGUUCGGAAGAGGCGAGUGGAAUUCCUGGUGUAGCGGUGGAAUGCGCAGAUAUCAGGAGGAACACCAAUAGCGAAGGCAGCUCGCUGGGACGAUACUGACGCUAAGGCGCGAAAGCGUGGGGAGCGAACAGGAUUAGAUACCCUGGUAGUCCACGCCGUAAACGAUGGGCACUAGGUGUGGGAGGUGUCGACUCCUCCCGUGCCGUCGCUAACGCACUAAGUGCCCCGCCUGGGGAGUACGGCCGCAAGGCUA